GAUGAACGCUGGCGGCGUGCCUAAUACAUGCAAGUCGAGCGAACAGACGAGGAGCUUGCUCCUCUGACGUUAGCGGCGGACGGGUGAGUAACACGUGGAUAACCUACCUAUAAGACUGGGAUAACAUCGGGAAACCGGAGCUAAUACCGGAUAAUAUAUUGAACCGCAUGGUUCAAUAGUGAAAGACGGUUUUGCUGUCACUUAUAGAUGGAUCCGCGCCGCAUUAGCUAGUUGGUAAGGUAACGGCUUACCAAGGCAACGAUGCGUAGCCGACCUGAGAGGGUGAUCGGCCACACUGGAACUGAGACACGGUCCAGACUCCUACGGGAGGCAGCAGUAGGGAAGCUUCCGCAAUGGGCGAAAGCUUGACGGAGCAACGCCGGGUGAGUGAUGAAGGUCCUCGGAUCGUAAAACUCUGUUAUUAGGGAAGAACAAAUGUGUAAGUAACUAUGCACGUCGUGACGGUACCUAAACAGAAAGCCACGGCUAACUACGUG
RNAcentral lists this ribosomal RNA (497 nucleotides) under uncultured bacterium. RNAcentral's name for it is "partial 16S ribosomal RNA". It matches the Rfam family "Bacterial small subunit ribosomal RNA", at positions 28 to 507 of the family's 1533-position model. The record is from RNAcentral.